Molecule: transfer RNA, 77 nt
Filed under: Pseudomonadota bacterium
Lineage: Bacteria; Pseudomonadati; Pseudomonadota
Also listed under: 1 other name
Description: tRNA-Gly
Rfam family: tRNA
About the family: Transfer RNA (tRNA) molecules are approximately 80 nucleotides in length.
Source: RNAcentral
GCGGAUGUAGCUCAGCUGGCUAGAGCGUCUGCUUGCCAUGCAGAAGGUCGAGGGUUCGAAUCCCUUCAUCCGCUCCA